Molecule: transfer RNA, 74 nt
Filed under: Apaloderma vittatum (bar-tailed trogon)
Lineage: Eukaryota; Metazoa; Chordata; Aves; Trogoniformes; Trogonidae
Rfam family: tRNA
About the family: Transfer RNA (tRNA) molecules are approximately 80 nucleotides in length. Their secondary structure includes four short double-helical elements and three loops (D, anti-codon, and T loops). Further hydrogen bonds mediate the characteristic L-shaped molecular structure. tRNAs have two regions of fundamental functional importance: the anti-codon, which is responsible for specific mRNA codon recognition, and the 3' end, to which the tRNAs corresponding amino acid is attached (by aminoacyl-tRNA synthetases). tRNAs cope with the degeneracy of the genetic code in two manners: having more than one tRNA (with a specific anti-codon) for a particular amino acid; and 'wobble' base-pairing, i.e. permitting non-standard base-pairing at the 3rd anti-codon position.
Source: Rfam by way of RNAcentral
GGCUGGUUAGCUCAGUCGGUUAGACCAUGAUGCUGAUAACACCAAGGUCGUGGGUUCAGUCCCCAUUUCGUCCU